CUCCGCUCCCGACACCCCCCGUCGCCGCCCCCCCCCCGCCCAGUUGUUUGGCUCCGGCGGGGAGUCCAGACGUUUCUUUGCAAAUAACAGCCUGGAGGCGACACUCGCGGAGGGAACGAGGUUUGCACUGAGCACCCCGCCCCCCGGGGCUCUAGCGCUGGAAGACCCUCGCCCUAGGCCCUGCUUUUGAAUCGCUGGUUUUAAAAUGCGAAUCGAAUAAAUCGCGUGGCGUUUCGCA
Cebus imitator (Panamanian white-faced capuchin) is the source of this 238-nucleotide long non-coding RNA. RefSeq lists it as uncharacterized. NCBI's taxonomy places the organism in Eukaryota, Metazoa, Chordata, Mammalia, Primates, Cebidae. The record is from RefSeq and is a predicted model, not a curated record. The transcript has 2 exons.